UUGCGGGUGCUAUACAUGCAGUCGAGCGCAGGAAGCAAGUUGAUCCCCUUCGGGGGUGACGCUUGUGGAAUGAGCGGCGGACGGGUGAGUAACACGUGGGCAACCUGCCUGUAAGACUGGGAUAACCCCGGGAAACCGGGGCUAAUACCGGAUAAUACUUUCUUUUGCAUAAAGGAAAGUUGAAAGGCGGCUUCGGCUGUCACUUACAGAUGGGCCCGCGGCGCAUUAGCUAGUUGGUGAGGUAACGGCUCACCAAGGCGACGAUGCGUAGCCGACCUGAGAGGGUGAUCGGCCACACUGGGACUGAGACACGGCCCAGACUCCUACGGGAGGCAGCAGUAGGGAAUCUUCCGCAAUGGACGAAAGUCUGACGGAGCAACGCCGCGUGAGUGAUGAAGGUUUUCGGAUCGUAAAACUCUGUUGUUAGGGAAGAACAAGUUGGGUAGUAACUGACCCAGCCUUGACGGUACCUAACCAGAAAGCCACGGCUAACUACGUGCCAGCAGCCGCGGUAAUACGUAGGUGGCAAGCGUUGUCCGGAAUUAUUGGGCGUAAAGCGCUCGCAGGCGGUCCUUUAAGUCUGAUGUGAAAUCUCGCGGCUCAACCGCGAACGGUCAUUGGAAACUGGAGGACUUGAGUACAGAAGAGGAGAGUGGAAUUCCACGUGUAGCGGUGAAAUGCGUAGAGAUGUGGAGGAACACCAGUGGCGAAGGCGACUCUCUGGUCUGUAACUGACGCUGAGGAGCGAAAGCGUGGGGAGCGAACAGGAUUAGAUACCCUGGUAGUCCACGCCGUAAACG
This 800-nucleotide ribosomal RNA is filed under the name Oceanobacillus sp. JSM 101090. RNAcentral's name for it is "bacterial SSU rRNA". It matches the Rfam family "Bacterial small subunit ribosomal RNA", at positions 37 to 808 of the family's 1533-position model. Lineage: Bacteria; Bacillati; Bacillota; Bacilli; Caryophanales; Bacillaceae. The record is from RNAcentral.